CAAGUUAGCAUUCACAAGCCUGAUGGCCUGUGGAUAGAAACUGUUUGUCAGUCUCGUAGUCCUGGAUUUCAGGCUCCUGUAUCGUCUGCCUGAUGGAGAGAUUAUUAUCCUGACACCAGGCCACCAGUUCCGCUACCUCCCUUCUGUAUGCUGCCUCAGCUCCCCCCGUGAUCAGUCCGACGACCAUAGUAUCAUCUGUAAACUUGAUGAUACUGGUGUUGUUCUGGGAGGCCACACAGUCGUGUGUGAAGAGGGUGGACAUCCAGGGGAACUAUGUGACGAUAAGCGCUCACUUCAUCACAGCAGACUGGCAGAUGAGAAGACACGCCCCCUCUACGAGAGUCACCUUGCGCAGUUUCCACAUGGUGAGGACAUUGAUGGUCUGACUCACUGUCUUACGGAUUACCUCAACUUCUGCAUAGACACGACCUGCCCUGCUAAGACUGUUCGGCGCUACCCUAAUAACAAACCUUGGGUAGAGGUUAAAGCUGUCCUCAACAAGAAGAAAGCUGCCUUCAGGAGUGGAGACAGGGAGGCAAUGAGAGCAGCACAGCUAAAGACAGCUACAGGAAGAAGCUGCAGCAGAACAACAUGAGGGAGCUCUGGGAAGGUGUGAAAACCAUCUCAGGCCACAAGACAAAGACCAGAGCAGUAGGGGGGACAAUAGAGAGGGCCAAUGAGUUGAAUGACUUCUUCAACCGGUUCAACCAGCAUGUGUCCUCCCCACCCCCCACUCCUCAUCGCAGCCACCCCCUCUUCUUCUCCCCUCAACACGCCUCCCCCCGAGCCAUGGCUGCACCCACCUCCUCCUCCACCACCUCUAGCAGACAUUAGUCAUCUCUGUGGACCAGGUCAGAGGUCAACUGAGGAAGCUGGAUCCUAGAAACUAUCUGGAUAGAUUCUGGUGCGCACCAGUUAGUUUCUAGGAUGCAGCUUUUUGUUUGCGUAUUAUUUAAAGGGGAACAUUAUCACAAUUUCAGAAUGGUUAAAACCAUUAAAAAUCAGUUCCCAGUGGCUUAUUUUAUUUUUCGAAGUUUUUUCAAAAUUUUACCCAUCACGCAAUAUCCCUAAAAAAAGCUUCAAAGUGCCUGAUUUUAACCAUCGUUAUAUACACCCGUCCAUUUUCCUGUGACGUCACAUAGUGAUGCCGAUACAAACAAACAUGGCGGAAAGAACAGCAAGGUAUAGCGACAUUAGCUCGGAUUCAAACUCGGAUUUCAGCGGCUUAAGCGAUUCAACAGAUUACGCAUGUAUUGAAACGGAUGGUUGUAGUGUGGAGGCAGGUAGCGAAAACGAAAUUGAAGAAAAAACUGAAGCUAUUGAGCCAUAUUGGUUUGAACCGUAUGCAAGCGAAACCGACGAAAACGACACGACAGCCAGCGACACGGGAGAAAGCAAGGACGAAUUCGGCGAUCGCCUUCUAACCAACGAUUGGUAUGUGUUUGUUUGGCAUUAAAGGAAACUAACAACUAUGAACUAGGUUUACAGCAUAUGAAAUACAUUUGGCAACAACAUGCACUUUGAGAGUGCAGACAGCCCAGUUUUCAUCAAUUAAUAUAUUCUGUAGACAUACCCUCAUCCGCUCUCUUUUCCUGGGGGUCUGGCGGCAGAUUUCUUUGACUUUAUCGUUGGAAAUGCAUCUGCUUUGAGUGUCGCAGGAUAUCCACACAUUCUUGCCAUCUCUGUCGUAGCAUAGCUUUCGUCGGUAAAGUGUGCUAAACAAACGUCCAAUUUCUUGCCACUUUCGCAUCUUUGGGCCACUGGUGCAACUUGAAUCCGUCCCUGUUCGUGUUGUUACACCCUCCGACAACACACCGACGAGGCAUGAUGUUUCCAAGGUACGGAAAACAGUCGAAA
Nerophis lumbriciformis (worm pipefish) is the source of this 1857-nucleotide long non-coding RNA. RefSeq lists it as uncharacterized. NCBI's taxonomy places the organism in Eukaryota, Metazoa, Chordata, Actinopteri, Syngnathiformes, Syngnathidae. The record is from RefSeq and is a predicted model, not a curated record.